GAGGCUCAGUUGGUAGAGCGCACCCUUGGUAAGGGUGAGGUCCCCAGUUCGACUCUGGGUAUCAGCACCA
Molecule: transfer RNA, 70 nt
Filed under: Citrobacter portucalensis
Lineage: Bacteria; Pseudomonadati; Pseudomonadota; Gammaproteobacteria; Enterobacterales; Enterobacteriaceae
Description: tRNA-Thr
Rfam family: tRNA
About the family: Transfer RNA (tRNA) molecules are approximately 80 nucleotides in length. Their secondary structure includes four short double-helical elements and three loops (D, anti-codon, and T loops).
Source: RNAcentral